This 437-nucleotide ribosomal RNA is filed under the name Sternaspis sendalli. Its description in RNAcentral is "partial 16S ribosomal RNA". It matches the Rfam family "Bacterial large subunit ribosomal RNA", at positions 1953 to 2605 of the family's 2925-position model. The record is from RNAcentral. Lineage: Eukaryota; Metazoa; Annelida; Polychaeta; Terebellida; Sternaspidae.
AAGGUAGCAUAAUCAUUUGCCUCUUAAUUAGUGGCUAGUAUGAAUGGACAAACGAGAAUUCCCCUGUCUCUAUAAAGCCAAUGAAAAUUAAUCUUCAGGUGAAGAAGCCUGAAUCUCAUUAAAAGACAAAAAGACCCUAUUGAGCUUACAUUCAAUCUCUAAAAUAUUAAAAUAAAAUAAAACUACCCUUUUUACAAGAAUUUUGCUGGGGCGGCAAAGGAACAACCAAAAAUUCCUUUUCUCAAAGACUUAUAAGUCUAUUAACUGAUCCGUAUUAACGAUUAACAAAACUAGUUACCAUAGGGAUAACAGGCUAAUUUUUCUCUAAAGCUCACAUUAACAGAAAAGAUUGGCACCUCGAUGUUGGCUUAGGAUAUCCUAAGGGCGCAGAAGCCUUUUAAGGUGGGUUUGUUCAACCUUUAAAAUCCUACGUGAUC